UACGUAGGGUGCGAGCGUUAAUCGGAAUUACUGGGCGUAAAGCGUGCGCAGGCGGUUUUUUAAGAUAGGCGUGAAAUCCCCGGGCUUAACCUGGGAACUGCGCUUAUGACUGGAAGACUAGAGUACGGCAGAGGGGGGUGGAAUUCCACGUGUAGCAGUGAAAUGCGUAGAGAUGUGGAGGAACACCGAUGGCGAAGGCAGCCCCCUGGGUCGAUACUGACGCUCAUGCACGAAAGCGUGGGGAGCAAACAGG
RNAcentral lists this ribosomal RNA (253 nucleotides) under uncultured bacterium. Its description in RNAcentral is "partial 16S ribosomal RNA". It matches the Rfam family "Bacterial small subunit ribosomal RNA", at positions 524 to 776 of the family's 1533-position model. The record is from RNAcentral.